This 570-nucleotide unclassified non-coding RNA is filed under the name Hevea brasiliensis (rubber tree). Lineage: Eukaryota; Viridiplantae; Streptophyta; Magnoliopsida; Malpighiales; Euphorbiaceae. The record is from RNAcentral.
GCCUCAGAUUUGUGAUUUUGGGCUGGCCAAGUGGCUACCCAGACAUUGGACUCACCACAAUGUAUCAAAAUUUGAAGGCACAUUCGGCUACUUUGCUCCUGAAUACUUCAUGCAUGGCAUAGUUGAUGAGAAAACUGAUAUAUAUGCCUUUGGUGUGUUGCUUUUGGAGGUCAUAACUGGGCGCCCGGCUGUGGAUCAUUUACAGCAGAGCGUAGUGAUAUGGGCAAAGAAUUUGCUUAAUAACAAUAGCAUCAAGGAGCUUGUUGAUCCUUCUCUUGGUGACAACUAUGAACCAGAAGAGAUGGAGCGCGUUGUUUUGACUGCCUCAUUGUGCGUUGAGCAGUCUCCUAUUCUUCGUCCUCGCAUGAAUCAGGUUGUGAUACUGCUAAAAGGUGAUGAAUAUGCUAAAGAGUAUGCAAAUGAAGGCAACAAGAAGGCAUUGCAAAGAACUUACUCUGAAGAGCUCUUAGACGUUCAAGAAUACAACUCAACCAAGUAUCUGAAUGAUAUGAAACGGCACAGAGAGCUUGCUUUGGAAUGUUGAAUUGAAAGCAAAAGAAUCGCAUAUUU